Zeugodacus cucurbitae (melon fly) is the source of this 3299-nucleotide long non-coding RNA. RefSeq lists it as uncharacterized. The record is from RefSeq and is a predicted model, not a curated record. The transcript is spliced from 3 exons. Lineage: Eukaryota; Metazoa; Arthropoda; Insecta; Diptera; Tephritidae.
AUUUAUUUCUUUUGACGUUGUCAUUGCUCAGCUGUUUGCUUUACUUUUUUGUUUUUAUUCACAUUUUGUUGGUGAAUUGCUGGCUGACUAUUUGGCCUAACUGCCAAACGACGUCUGCGAAGAUAAGCUUAAUUGAAAAGGCGAAUUAAUUGAAAUUAUGCUACAGAGAAAAUUGCACAAAUUCAGAUGCAUUCAGUUUCUAUUUGAUAAAUGCAAAUGUUAAUUUAGAGAUGCAAGUGGACAUUUGACUAGAUUGCUGGAAUUUUAGAUGCAUGUAAAGCAACUCAAUGCCGGUCUAUGAACGUUCUAUGUAAGUUUAUAAGUACAGACGUGUGCAAUUAAUUAGCAGAACUAUAUGUGCUCACUUCUGGAGAAUAAUCAGUAACUAAAAUAUACAGGGAGCAGGGAAUAAACAACUGGUAUAAGUCUUAUAGAAAGGAAUACUCAAAUAUGGGGGGAAUAUAUAAAGAUCACACCACUUUGAUGAAAUAUUCACCAAUAUAUGUCUCUUGUAAUUAAUUUAACUGGCGAUAAUUUGUUGUACAUACAUAUGUGAAAGUAACCACAAAUUAUUAUUAUAUAUUUGUAAAAUGUUUAAAUUGUAAUUAUAAAUGUUUUCAAAAGCUUUGAUCUUAAAGUUGUGGCAUCGGAGAGUUCUUCGACAGUUUCGAUUUACUCAAUAUUAUUUCCUGGGUUCGAUGAGUUUUUUCAGUAUUUAAAUGUUUUUUACUAGAACAUGCAAUAAGUAACUUUUUGGUUUUUUUUCUAUAUUUUGCCGUAGAGAAAUGGACCCCUUCAACAGGUAUACGUGCUAUGGAUGGAGUUAUAAAUUGCUGAAAUCCGACAUUCGUCUUAAAAAAAAUAUUCUAUGAACUUUAAAAUGAAUUAAACAAUAUUAAUAAGAUGAGUUUGCCUACAAAAAUCGUCGAUAAAGGUGUCAUGGAAAUGAUUUUCAGUACAAUUCAAAUUAAUAUUUUUAUAUCGAAGGCUUUGAAUAUUUAAAAAUAAAGAAAAAUUCAUAAAAUAAUAGUGCACCGAACAUGUCAUGAGAGAAACUAAACUUUAAAGAUAAAAUCUACAUAUUCAUAAUACGGCGGCACCGUCAAAGCAGCAUGUCUGUUGAAAGGAAAAUCACCACGAACUUCAGAGAAAUAGGUCACUAAAUUUUGGUGCUCAAUUAUUACUGAGUUAUUGUUGUGUUUUUAUGUAUUCAAUGGGAAAUGUGAGCAGCACAUCCGUUCCACCAGCCAUGCCACCGCAUAAAAUACUUUUCCAUCUUUUAUCACCCAUUAUAAAUUACAAAUAAAUUGAUUUACUUCACAAUUUUUAACAAACGUAUGUUUCCGAAAUGUUGUUUGCUAAUACAUCAUUUAAUAUUUUUUUUUAAUUUCUUACAUAAUUUUUCGAGAGUUAUAGUAAUAAUAUCUACGCUUUUAUAAAAUCUAUAUGCUUUGUUAUCACAAAUGUAUUAUCUAAUAUAAAAGUUAUAAAUUAUUUCGACUACGUAAACAAAUACCAGCUGAUUCUAUUUCGUUAGUGAUGGAAGAAAUAAAAAGAAAUAAUUUACACUCGUAAAAAUAUAUCAAGCAAACGUGAAUAAAAUUUUGUAAAAUACAUAAUAAACAUAAUACAUAACAACACGUGAAUAAUGUUCAUUCAAUACAAAUAAUUUACGAGUUCUUCCAUAAAGUUUCAAAAAGCAUCGUAAAACUUUUAUUAUUAACAUCGAUAUAAAUACAUGCUUUGAAAAUCGAUUUCCCGAUAUCGAAUCAUCAUUUCUUCCAGCUGAUUGCUAUAGACUUAAUCGUAACCAUAACCAUAUCAUAUUUUUUACAGUUAAUUACAAUGAAAAUAAAUAUAAAUAAAUAAAUAAAGAAUCUAUAGUAGCAAAUGGUGAAAAGAUUUAAUACAAAUUACCCCUAUCUUCGUGAUAAUUAUGAUUAAGGCAAUGUCGUUUGUUGCAACAUUUAAAUUUAUUUGAUUAACUUAAGCCAAAAAUUUAAAAAUUGUAAAUACAAUGUAACUUCUCUAUCUCGAAUCACCAUAAUCCACAAAAAAACUUCGAGUUAGAGAGACUUCGAGUUAUAGAGAGUUCCAUUAAAACAUAAAUUUCCUCAAAAACUGUAAAAUAUAGAUUUAUGGUUUUAUUUAUUUACAUCGUAUAAAGUUGUAUGUACAUAUGUAUGUAAUUUUGAUUGUUGCAGUUUGCUAUUGUUGGCACUCGACGUCUGUAUCCCAUGAUUUAUGCAAUCCAUAAGUGUAAUAUUAUAGUUUUUGUUCGCAUCCAUACGAUAUUGAGGAAUUCUUUUAAUAUUCUGCAUCGAUAGUAAAAUUUUAAAUUUUGUAUUAUACCCUCGUCGAAAAGUACGAUUUAUGGAAGGAAAUUGGACUUCUAUUGUCAAUUCAAAAGUUUGAGUUAUGGAGAUCUACGAUUUAUAGAAGUUUCACUGUAUUUUAAAUGAAUAUUAGUAUAAAAUGUAAGCCAGAAAACACCCGAAACAACCAUUUCACAUUUUUUAUUUCCAUUAAAAUCCAUUUUAUUCAUUUAAUAAAGUUUAUUUUGAUGCAAAAGUUUACUCACUUUUCACAGUCGUAAGUUUUGUGCUUAAAUGUGUAUCAAUAAUACAAUUUUUGAAUUCAAAUAUAAAUACAUUUAAAUGUAUUAGCAAAAAAUAGUUUACUUUCUUUAAAUGCUUAACAGUACAAUAUUAGUUAAUUGUUAUUCUAUAACAAACUAAUAGUUUAGUAACGGUUAUGCAUUAAUUAAUUCAAAAUUUUUCAGUCAAAUAAUAUUGGAAUACGCAAAAACCAAAAAUAUAUCUUGAUGUAUAUGUUGUCAUAUAAAGUGCAAAAUAUUGAUGAUAUUUAGUAUUUCAAUUCUUAAUUCUCGCAAGAUGUGGCAUUAUUAAUUUAAAUAUAUUUUUUAACUAUUUGUUGCUAUGGUAUGCAAUUAACAGUGCAUUUAGACAGCCUUGUACACUCUGACGGAUUUGACGUUGUUGAUGGUGAGGGUCUAUGGAAAGAAGUUGUUAAAAUUAAUUUUACUAAUUGAAAUUAUAUUUUAUAAAGCUUUAGUACACUUACAGUCACCAAUUCGGAGUCGGUGAAUUCACGCACAAUGCUUGAGGGUUUGUCACCCUUCUGUUCCUGCACUAGGGUGUUGCCAUUCAAAGUAAUGAUGCUCUUCACCUUACGACCAUCAAGUGUCUCUUCAUCGAAUUCCUCGCCCAGUUUAAAGUUGAUAGACGAUGUCUUGAAUGUGGAGGUAGUGGUGAAAGUGUAAGUCUCACCAUCCUUCU